UAGGGAAUCUUCCGCAAUGGACGCAAGUCUGACGGAGCAACGCCGCGUGAGUGAAGAAGGAUUUCGGUCCGUAAAACUCUGUUGUUAGAGAAGAACAGCGCAUAGAGUAACUGUUAUGCGUGUGACGGUAUCUAACCAGAAAGCCACGGCUAACUACGUGCCAGCAGCCGCGGUAAUACGUAGGUGGCAAGCGUUGUCCGGAUUUAUUGGGCGUAAAGCGAGCGCAGGCGGUCAAUUAAGUCUGAUGUGAAAGCCCCCGGCUCAACCGGGGAGGGUCAUUGGAAACUGGUUGACUUGAGUGCAGAAGAGGAGAGUGGAAUUCCAUGUGUAGCGGUGAAAUGCGUAGAUAUAUGGAGGAACACCAGUGGCGAAGGCGACUCUCUGGUCUGUAACUGACGCUGAGGUUCGAAAGCGUGGGUAGCAAACAGG
RNAcentral lists this ribosomal RNA (429 nucleotides) under Bacteroidota bacterium. RNAcentral's name for it is "Bacteroidetes bacterium partial 16S ribosomal RNA". It matches the Rfam family "Bacterial small subunit ribosomal RNA", at positions 355 to 776 of the family's 1533-position model. Lineage: Bacteria; Pseudomonadati; Bacteroidota. The record is from RNAcentral.